Molecule: non-coding RNA, 23 nt
Filed under: Arabidopsis thaliana (thale cress)
Lineage: Eukaryota; Viridiplantae; Streptophyta; Magnoliopsida; Brassicales; Brassicaceae
Source: RNAcentral
CACGAACUUUCAAAUUUGGGACG